CUAGCGGCAUGCCUUACACAUGCAAGUCGAACGGCAGCACGGACUUCGGUCUGGUGGCGAGUGGCGAACGGGUGAGUAAUGUAUCGGAACGUGCCUAGUAGCGGGGGAUAACUACUCGAAAGGUUGGCUAAUACCGCAUACGCCCUACGGGGGAAAGCAGGGGAUCUUCGGACCUUGCGUUAAUGGAGCGGCUGAUAUCUGAUUAGCUAGUUGGUGAGGUAAAGGCUCACCAAGGCGACGAUCAGUAGCUGGUCUGAGAGGACGACCAGCCACACUGGAACUGAGACACGGUCCAGACUCCUACGGGAGGCAGCAGUGGGGAAUUUUGGACAAUGGGCGCAAGCCUGAUCCAGCCAUUCCGCGUGAGUGAAGAAGGCCUUCGGGUUGUAAAGCUCUUUCGCAAGGGAAGAAAACUUACUUUUUAAUAAAGAGUGAGGUUGACGGUACCUUGAUAAGAAGCACCGGCUAACUACGUGCCAGCAGCCGCGGUAAUACGUAGGGUGCGAGCGUUAAUCGGAAUUACUGGGCGUAAAGCGUGCGCAGGCGGCUUUGUAAGUCAGAUGUGAAAUCCCCGAGCUCAACUUGGGAACUGCGUUUGAAACUACAAGGCUAGAAUAUGUCAGAGGGGGGUAGAAUUCCACGUGUAGCAGUGAAAUGCGUAGAGAUGUGGAGGAAUACCAAUGGCGAAGGCAGCCCCCUGGGAUAAUAUUGACGCUCAUGCACGAAAGCGUGGGGAGCAAACAGGAUUAGAUACCCUGGUAGUCCACGCCCUAAACGAUGUCUACUAGUUGUUGGUGGAGUAAAAUCCAUGAGUAACGCAGCUAACGCGUGAAGUAGACCGCCUGGGGAGUACGGUCGCAAGAUUA
This 866-nucleotide ribosomal RNA is filed under the name uncultured bacterium. RNAcentral describes it as "bacterial SSU rRNA". It matches the Rfam family "Bacterial small subunit ribosomal RNA", at positions 36 to 896 of the family's 1533-position model. The record is from RNAcentral.